Molecule: ribosomal RNA, 465 nt
Filed under: uncultured Klebsiella sp.
Lineage: Bacteria; Pseudomonadati; Pseudomonadota; Gammaproteobacteria; Enterobacterales; Enterobacteriaceae
Description: bacterial SSU rRNA
Rfam family: Bacterial small subunit ribosomal RNA
Source: RNAcentral
CCUACGGGUGGCAGCAGUGGGGAAUAUUGCACAAUGGGCGCAAGCCUGAUGCAGCCAUGCCGCGUGUGUGAAGAAGGCCUUCGGGUUGUAAAGCACUUUCAGCGGGGAGGAAGGCGGUGAGGUUAAUAACCUCAUCGAUUGACGUUACCCGCAGAAGAAGCACCGGCUAACUCCGUGCCAGCAGCCGCGGUAAUACGGAGGGUGCAAGCGUUAAUCGGAAUUACUGGGCGUAAAGCGCACGCAGGCGGUCUGUCAAGUCGGAUGUGAAAUCCCCGGGCUCAACCUGGGAACUGCAUUCGAAACUGGCAGGCUAGAGUCUUGUAGAGGGGGGUAGAAUUCCAGGUGUAGCGGUGAAAUGCGUAGAGAUCUGGAGGAAUACCGGUGGCGAAGGCGGCCCCCUGGACAAAGACUGACGCUCAGGUGCGAAAGCGUGGGAAGCAAACAGGAUUAGAUACCCUGGUAGUC